Podarcis lilfordi (Lilford's wall lizard) is the source of this 1062-nucleotide non-coding RNA. NCBI's taxonomy places the organism in Eukaryota, Metazoa, Chordata, Lepidosauria, Squamata, Lacertidae. The record is from the annotation of a GenBank genome assembly.
GAAGUUGUAAAUGAGUCAGCAAUUGAGUCUCAGAGCUGGAUGGCUAGAGGAGAAGGAAUUAUGUUGUUUUAUUUUUUUUAUUUGACCAGUGUAAGUUUUUGUAAAUAAGGAAGAUGUUUUGUUCUAGGCUCUGGCCAGGACUAGGGCUGGGCAAUAUAUCAAUAUAUCGUCCAAACCCAGUUUGUAUAGCAUGAGUCAUGGUUUGUGUGUGUGUGUGUGUGCGCGCUAUGCACAAAUCAAAAUGUGGGGGAAACCGUACAGCGUGUCAGUGAUUCUGGUUUCCCCCCGCAGAAAUUUUUAUUAGAGUAUUCACAAUACAAUAUAUCCAGAUUCCUGUUAACUCUGCUGGCUCAGCUACCCUCUGCCUCUUAUGGAGGGCAGCGAAUCACAAGAGCAGGCACAGGCAAAAAUCACAAUGCAGGAAAAAUCAUGAGAACAAGAAGCUGGACUAGAUGAGCCAUGGGCCUGCUCUUGCAGAGCUCCCUCUGCCUUAGCCUCUCUGGAUGUUGAUGAUUUCCUUGCUGGUAUCUUAGGGUUGUGCCCCACGAUAGUAAUACUCUGAAUCACUGAAAUCGAGGGACCUGACUAAUGCAGGUCCAUUAAUUUUGGCAGGUCCACUUGGAGUAUAACUUUAAAUGGGCAACAACCCAUAGGCAACUUUUUGUGUUGAAUUUCCUUUGGCAUCAGUUUGCACAGCAGGACAUACCGCUUCCUUUCCUCACCUAGCCUUGGCAUAAUCUUAAUAUAUUCCAUUCACGGACGAGCAGGAAAUAAGUUAGAACCUGCAAAUACCUGGGGCGCACAGCAACCCACACACGCCUAAGCUGACUUCAUUGCCUGCAAGUCUUUGGGUUCACCCCAAUUGUAUCCUCAAUUCCUCUCUCACUAUCACAUGUCACAGGAGGACUGUGACACAUGUCUGCCCAGGAUGCUCCGAGAUAGGAGCGAACAGUGAUCGGCAACAGAUGCUUUUGGUUUCGUUCUGAUUUUCCACGAUAAGACUAAAUCCGGAUAACAGGCGGAAUAUAGGCUGGGUGCUGUGAAAAACAGGUGCAUAUGAGC